RNAcentral lists this long non-coding RNA (1487 nucleotides) under Panax ginseng (ginseng). RNAcentral describes it as "long non-coding RNA (PGIN_LNC007427)". Lineage: Eukaryota; Viridiplantae; Streptophyta; Magnoliopsida; Apiales; Araliaceae. The record is from RNAcentral.
GGUCGACUGCAAGCCUCAUUGAUCCUUUGAGCAUGUCAAUUUUUUCAUUAAGCAGGAUCACGAUUAACCCUCUUUCAUCAAGUCCACUGAACAUAAGACGUCUUAUCAAUGUACAACCAAAGAUGAGAAACACAAUUUUGCGCAACUAUUAGAGGUCAAAAUUAUUCUUGCCUAUGAAAUGAGCAGCAGUUGUAAGCACAAUUUCAAGCCAGAAAAAUCUUACCCUUUUUUUUAAAAAAAAACAACUUAAUAUAUUAAAUUGUCUCUUAAGAACUAUAAAGAAAUAGAAAUUUGAAGUUAGCUAUCUGAAAAUUGUAAACGGUAAUCUUCUCAUUUCGCUAAACUCACUGUCAGCCUUCUAAUUAUAUUUUUAACACGAAUUCAUUACAAAAUCUUUGCCAUAUCAUCCACAUUUACCUCAUACUUAUAGUCGUUAUUCAACAUAUCAAAAGUUGUAAAUAAAAUGAACAAAUGAGGAGUCCACGUUAAACAUCAAAAAUCAACUGAUCAUGUUUAUGUAAAUUGAAAUUCUCAAUUUGGGAUGGAGGGGCUAUCAAUUGAGAUCUCUCCUAACAAAGCACCCCAAACUUUGAAUAAUUAACACAUAACAUUAAAAGGAAAUCAAAAUAAAGGCUGAAUGACAAUACUUUCGAGUAACUUAAACAAUAAACCAUAUCCUGAUCAUUUCUGACUGUGAAGAUAAUCAUAUAAACUAAUGUAAGUGAUAUGUUUUUUGCAUGACAUAUCACUUACAUUUGUAAACAUGUUGAUUUUGUUAUAAUAUUAUUUCCACCUUUAAUGCGAUAUACAUUGUAUUUUUAUUAGAAUAUUAACUGGGGUUUAAAGAUUUAAUAUUAGGCUUUCAAAAAAACAGUAAAACCCUACCUAAAGAAAAUCAAGAUAUCAGUUUAUUCAGCAUUUUUUGAAGGACAAAAGUACCGAAAGGUCCAAACAGAGUACUACUCUCAAAUGCCAGAGCUAUGCAGUAUCACAUUAUGGAGAAAAGCUUGAUCAACCACAGUUACUGCCAUGGAUGGAUAGAUUAAGUUGACUCCUAAAACAAAUGACUCACACAAAUAAUUAUACUAAUUUUUUUUUUUAUAAAAAAUACUGUAUUCCAAAGUAUAUGAUUACUUUUGACUUUUUAGAGUCGAUUAAAAAGUUUUUUAAAUUUAGAACGGAGGGAGUGGCUUACACUGGAAAUUUCAAUCUUUUGGAUAUGGACUUCAAAAUUAUCAGGAAGCAAGAAGACUUAAGUUAAUAGUAGAUACCAGUCAAACUUGCAAAUAUUUUUCGCAAUCUGAAUAUUGAGUAAUGUUCUAGUCUUCAAGGUCGAUCCACACAAACUUCAACAUUGUCUAUCUAAAUUCCUUCCAUGUCCACUCAACAUUGGGUUCCUGAGAAAGGAGAGCAAACAUAACCUAGAUGAAGUUCUUGUAUUAAAAAACAUGAGAUUAUUACUUCAAACUAAAAUUUGUUAAACAUAC